AAUGAUGAAGUGGGACACUGAUC
Molecule: non-coding RNA, 23 nt
Filed under: Cricetulus griseus (Chinese hamster)
Lineage: Eukaryota; Metazoa; Chordata; Mammalia; Rodentia; Cricetidae
Source: RNAcentral